Molecule: long non-coding RNA, 594 nt
Organism: Biomphalaria glabrata
Lineage: Eukaryota; Metazoa; Mollusca; Gastropoda; Planorbidae
Exons: 4
Source: RefSeq, a predicted model, not a curated record
UAUUUAAAGGAGUUCACGGGCAAGUUAGCCGGCGGGUGGCGAAUCAGUUCUUGCAAUAAGGUAACGAUCACAUCGACUGGAGGACUGGAGUUUAGAACUCGACUUACCUAACACUUACGCGGGUAUCCAAAAGUUUCAGUAGAUAGUAGUGACGAAUUACAUAAAUUCAAGCUUAAUUAGGUCUAACAAACAGCCAAGAACUAAAGAACGCAAAGAUUAAGUAUAAUCUGAUCAUCAAGUGUUGGAACAUUCACUGAAGAGAUUAAGAAGGAGAAGUAGAAUUGUUGCAAUAAAUCUUGUACAAACUAGUCACGAUUAUUCUCAAGAGCAUUAUCUGCAGUGACUAUCCUUCAACAGACGCCUCAGCUACAAAGAAACAGAACAUGGGCCCCAAUCAUCUGUCUUGGAUCUAUCAAGUUUCAGAGCUAACCUUUGUCUUGGUGUUUUGUAUGCUCCUACUUCUUCCUGUCUCCUCAGCCUACAGUCUACAAGAAAGCGAUGUGCCUACAUAUAAAGAAAAAAGAGAUACGCCCAACCGAGAAAACAGAAACGGAUUGAAAUUGGGAAGCGGGGUAGGGUUGUCACCCUUUCAUU